UGGGGAAUAUUGGACAAUGGGCGAAAGCCUGAUCCAGCCAUGCCGCGUGUGUGAAGAAGGUCUUCGGAUUGUAAAGCACUUUAAGUUGGGAGGAAGGGCAGUAAGCGAAUACCUUGCUGUUUUGACGUUACCGACAGAAUAAGCACCGGCUAACUCUGUGCCAGCAGCCGCGGUAAUACAGAGGGUGCAAGCGUUAAUCGGAAUUACUGGGCGUAAAGCGCGCGUAGGUGGUUCGUUAAGUUGAAUGUGAAAGCCCCGGGCUCAACCUGGGAACUGCAACCAAAACUGGCGAGCUAGAGUAGGGCAGAGGGUGGUGGAAUUGCCUGUGUAGCGGUGAAAUGCGUAGAUAUAGGAAGGAACACCAGUGGCGAAGGCGACCACCUGGGCUCAUACUGACACUGAGGUGCGAAAGCGUGGGGAGCAAACAGG
Molecule: ribosomal RNA, 429 nt
Filed under: Pseudomonadota bacterium
Lineage: Bacteria; Pseudomonadati; Pseudomonadota
Description: Proteobacteria bacterium partial 16S ribosomal RNA
Rfam family: Bacterial small subunit ribosomal RNA
Source: RNAcentral